ACAUAAGUCUAGUUUAAUAAAUAAUUUCAUUUUGUCAAAAUGAAGAUGCCAAAAGCGACUAAUUA
Molecule: transfer RNA, 65 nt
Filed under: Symphylella sp. YG-2006
Lineage: Eukaryota; Metazoa; Arthropoda; Symphyla; Scolopendrellidae
Description: tRNA-Asp
Source: RNAcentral